CUGAGGCUAGAUUUCUUCAAAUACUGCCAUUGCAAGAACAAAAAGGUUGAAUAACAUUUUUGGGUCCGAUUGAAAACAAAGCAAACAAGAGAUAGAACCUUCCAUAAUCAGGAAUUCCACAUCCAGUGCUAAUUUCCGCUCCUGUCAAUACCGCAACCUUGGUGCUGCAACAUACAAAUAGCAGUCAAAUAUUUAACCCAUUGGAAUACAUUUACAUCCUUUAUUGUGUGGCUACAAUUACAACAGGAACAAUAUGCAAAGCCAAGGACAAGAAUAACCUGUACAAGCCCAUUUCGCCCCAAACCCAAAUAACUUAACAAAAUAACAAAACCCAAUAAUAAUAUAAAAAAACCUAUAGGCCCGAUUGGCCCAAAACCUAAACUUUUCAGCAGAAACCCUAGCCCCUGUUGCGCCGCACCUAACCUCUGCCACCACCUGCCACCGUCCCAUCGCCGCGCACCUGCUCACUGCUAUGCCACCAUCAGUCUCUGCAAAGUGAAAAGGAGCACGCAAAGCAGAAGAAAGCAGUAGCAAUGAGAGAUUUUCUUGGAUUUUUUUUUCGGCUAUAAAGCCGAAUGUGUUGUAAAAUGUAAAAGGGGGAUUUUCGGUGUAAAACCGAUUAAAAAACAAUUGUAAAAGAGAGGAUUUCAAGAAAUAAGAAGUAAAAAAAAAAACAGAUUCAAGGACUUUGCUUUCGGUAUAAGAUCUAUUCCUCUUUUAUUUAUUUAUUUAUUUUUCUUUAUUUUCCUUCUUUCUCAAACUGUUUAUAUACAUACAUAUAUUUCUUUAGUUUUUCUUUUUUUAACUAUUAUACAUAUAUAUUGAAAAAAGUUUAAAAAAAGAAAAAAAAAAGGGAAAAAAACGCACCUUUUCAACUUUCCGGCCACCGUGGACGGCGGCGCCGUCACCGGUGACCGGUGACCGGCGGCCGGCACGGCGGGGGUCGGCCCGUCCUCUGGCCGGAUUUUGGGCUGAGAAAGGGAAAGGGGAGAGAUUUUAAGAGAAGGAAAUUUUUUUUAAAAAAAGAGGGCUGAAAGUG
Molecule: long non-coding RNA, 1039 nt
Filed under: Gossypium barbadense (sea-island cotton)
Lineage: Eukaryota; Viridiplantae; Streptophyta; Magnoliopsida; Malvales; Malvaceae
Description: long non-coding RNA (GBAR_LNC013176)
Source: RNAcentral